RNAcentral lists this ribosomal RNA (460 nucleotides) under uncultured bacterium. Its description in RNAcentral is "partial 16S ribosomal RNA". It matches the Rfam family "Bacterial small subunit ribosomal RNA", at positions 338 to 795 of the family's 1533-position model. The record is from RNAcentral.
CCUACGGGAGGCAGCAGUGAGGAAUAUUGGUCAAUGGCCGGAAGGCUGAACCAGCCAUGCCGCGUGAAGGUCAGUGCCCUAUGGGCGUUAAACUUCUUUUGUGCGGGAGCAAUAAUGGUCACGUGUGGCCAGACGAGAGUACCGUACGCAUAAGCAUCGGCUAACUCCGUGCCAGCAGCCGCGGUAAUACGGGGGAUGCAAGCGUUAUCCGGAUUUAUUGGGUUUAAAGGGUGCGUAGGCUGUGAGGUAAGUCAGCGGUGAAAUGCCCCCGCGCAACGGGGUGAAGUGCCAUUGAGACUGCCUUGCUGGAGUGCGGAUGCGGUGGGAGGAAUGUGUGGUGUAGCGGUGAAAUGCAUAGAUAUCACACAGAACACCGAUUGCGAAGGCAGCUCACGAAUCCGCGAUUGACGCUGAUGCACGAAAGCGUGGGUAUCAAACAGGAUUAGAUACCCCAGUAGUC